Carica papaya (papaya) is the source of this 3842-nucleotide non-coding RNA. Lineage: Eukaryota; Viridiplantae; Streptophyta; Magnoliopsida; Brassicales; Caricaceae. The record is from RefSeq and is a predicted model, not a curated record.
UUUUAUUUUUUUUUCUGCACCAUGCGAGUUUUUUUGUGAAACCCAUCCCACCCUACCCUAUUUGAUAUGAGGAUAAAUAUUCUAUUGCUGCAUUUUGCUAAAGCAAAUGUUCAAUUCCUUGUAAGUUCUUGGGGUUGAAGAGUUGUAUUGUUUUCAACUUUGUGAAAAACAAAAAUGUUUUAUUCAUUUUUGGUGUUGAAAGUAUGAUUCAAAAUUGAUUUUAUUUUUGAUUCUUAGAUUAUGUUGCUGUGUUGUUUAAUUGUGUCCCUGUUUUUUUAGCAUUUUCAUAUGUAGUUGUUUGUUAUGCCCUCCACUUAUUUGAGAUAAUGCCUGUUAUACGUUAGUAACUAAUUUCAUAAGUAUGGUUGAGAUUUUUUAAGCUCUGUCAGUUGUAAGAAAGCCUAUAUAACAGACAUUUUCAGUUCUGAAAAAAAUGCACAACAAUUCCAAGGAUUUCUUAAAUUGAUUCUUGCCCUUCAUUGAUAUUUUUGCUUGCUGAAAUUACUGCAGUCAGUAUUUCUUCUACUUUCACUUCUUUUUUAUAUUUUGUUUCUGUACAGGUCUUCUAAAUUCCCAACAAAAGUGGUAUCAGAGUAUGGGUUUGAAAUGACAGCAAAUGAGAAUUCUAUUAGCUUGUCCCAACCCAUGAUUCUUAUCUUCGAAAGAGAGAUUUAUGAGUUUUGGAGCAUCAAGAUGAAGACCUUGUUCGAGUCUCAAGACUUGUGGGUCUUGGUUGAGCAAGGGUUUGCUGACCCAGAUGAAAACGGAAGGUUGAGAGAGAACAAAAAGGACUCCAAGGCAUUGUUCUUCAUUUAACAAGCUGUACAUGACUCAGUAUUUUCUCGAAUUGUUGCAGCACCUACAUCAAAGGAGGCUUGGUUACCUCGGAAGAAGGAGUUUUAAAGGACAUCAAAGGUAAUUGUUGUCAAACUUUAGACUCUUCGACAUGAAUUUGAAACUUUAUUUACAAGCAAUGGUGAAUCUGUCCAAGAUUUUAUGUCAAGAGUUUCUGCAAUUGAGUCAAAUGAGGUCUUCUAGAGAACAAAUUAGUUAUCAAACUAUUGUUGAAAAAAUUUUGAGGAGUCUAACUCCAAAGUUUGAUCAUAUUGUUGGUGCCAUUGAAGAAUCUAAAGACCUUUUUGUGUUUUCCUUUGAUGAUCUAAUGGGUUCUUUACAAGCACAUGAAACAAGAAUGAACAGGUCUCGUGAUAAGGACGAAGAAAAGGCUUUUCAAGUGAAAUGGGAGUCAUCAAGUCAAUCAAAGAAAAGUGUUGGAAGUGAACAUGGCAAAGGUGGUCCACAUGGCAAAGGUUAUAAAUCUUUUGAAAGGUAAAUUGAUUCCCAGCAUUCUGAAGAGUGGAAAAACUACAAGAUUGUCCAAUGCCACUAUUGUAAACGAUAUGGACAUAUCAAGGCAAAUUGUUGGAAAAGAGAGAAAAAGGCAAGUUAUGCAGAAGAGGCUAAAGAGGAAAAGUUUGUUUAUGGCCCGAUAUGGUGAAACAAGUGUUGCAAUUGAUAUUUGGUUUCUGGACAGCGACUGUUCAAACCACAUAACGAGUGAAAAGUCCUUAUUUCAUGAGCUUGAUGAGACACAUAGCUGACUGUGAAGUUCGGUGAUGACAACCAAUUCAAGGUUGAACGCAAAGGAACAGUAGCUUGGAGACUAGAGGUGGUAAAGUAAAUUUUUUCAUGAUGUCUUUUAUGUUCCUAACUUGUCACAUAACUUGUUAAGUAUUGGACAAUUAAUGGCUAAUGACUAUUCAGUUUUUUUUUAUUGUGAUGCAUGCGAUAUUAGAGAUAAAAAAUCGGGUCAAGUUGUUGUUAACGUAUGCCUGGCUGAAAAAUAAGAUGUUUCCUCUUGAGGUCUCAAGUGUCAAUCAUCAUACUCUUGUUGUUAGCAAGAAAAGUGAGUCUAUAAUAUGAAAUUUGAGGUAUGGACACUUAAAUGUUAAAGGCUUGCAGUUAUUAUGCAAAAAAAAAACUAGUACAUGGGCUGUCUAGGAUUGAGUCACUUGAAUUGUGUAAGGGCUGCAUAUAUGGAAAGUAAAGUAAUCUUCCAUUUCCUAUAGGCAAGUCUUGGAGGACCUCUAAAACACUUGAAUUGGCGUAUGCUGACUUAUGUGGGCCUAUGAGGACUAAAUCUUUUAGUGGCGAACAUGGUAUUUCUAGACAAUUGAUAGCACCUUACACACCUGAGCAAAAUGGUGUGACAGAGCAAAAGAACCGCAUAGUUGUUGCGAUGGCAAGGAGCAUGUUAAAAGCUAAAGGCCUACCAAAUAAAUUUUGGGCUGAAGGAAUUUCUACUGCUGUUUAUCUUCUCAAUUUAUCCCCAACAAGAGCAGUCCCAAAUCAAAUUCCAUAUGAAGCUUGGAACGGUUUCAAGACUUGGGUAAACUAAUUACGUGUUUUUGGUUGUAUUGCCUAUACUUUGGUUAAUUCUGAAAUUCGGAGUAAACUUGAUGAAAAGUCAAUAAAAUGCAUCUUUGUUGGCUAUUGCACACAUUGCAAAGUAUAUAGGCUAUAUAACCCUGUGAAUGGCAAAGUAGCUAUGAGCAGGAAUAUGGUAUUUGAUGAAGAAGCAAGCAGGAACUGGAACAAGAAUGGAGAGGUAGCUGUAGAAAAUCAUAUUCCACUAGAUUUUGAAACUCCAACUGAAGCCAACAAUGGAGUUCCAGCAGUCACAUUCUCUAGCAUUCAUUACCAACAAACAGCCCAUACAACAGCUCUUCUACACAACUAACUUCAGAAAGUUCUUCAGAAGAAUCUCCUCCAAUAAAGUUUAGAUCAUUGAGGGAGAUAUAUGCAAACAAACAAGCCUUAUUUGUUGCAGAAUCAAUUAAUGUUGAAAAAGCAUAUGCAAAAGAAGAAUGGAUUAAGGCCAUGAAGGAAGAGUUAAAUGCAAUCAACAAAAAUCAAACAUGGGAGAUGGUGGAUUUACCUGAAGGAAAAAAUGCUAUUGGGCUGAAAUGGGUAAUCAAAACUAAAUAUCAUGCUGAUGGGAGUAUUGAAAGGCAUAAAGCAUGGCUGGUUGUCAAGGGAUACGUGCAAACUUAUGGCAUCAACUAUGACGACACGUUCGUACCAGUUGCAAGGUUUAAAAUUGUGAGAACUUUCUUGGCUUUUGCUCGCACAUGAAGCUGCCUGGAUAUCAAUUCAAUGUCAAAUCUGCUUUUUUAAAUGGAGAACUCUUGGAGGAAAUGUAUGUUACUCAACCUGAAGGAUUUAUCAUCAAUGGCAAAGAAGACAAAGUUUACAAGUUGAAAAAGACUCUCUAUGGGUUAAAAUAAGCACCUAGGGCUUGGUAUAGCAAGAUAGAUGCCCAUCUUUGCUCAAAUGGGUAUAUGAGAAGUGUCCAUGAGCCUACUCUUUACUUAAAGAGGCAAGCAAUUGGGCAGGUUCUUUGGAGGACAGGAAAAGCACUUCAGGUAGCAUUUUUUACCUUGGAUUUGGAGCUGUCACUUGGAGUUCUAAAAAACAAGCGACGAAAGCAUUGUAUCAUCUGAAGCAGAGUAUGCUGUUGCAACUUCAGCAGCUUGUCAAGUUGUAUGACUCAGGCGUUUGCUCGCAGAUUUCGGCCAAGAACAGAAAGGUGCAACUAAGAUUCUUUGUUGAUCGAAAGUGAAAAUAAGCUUCAAGGGAAGCGCUGUGAUUGAACAAACUUAGAGAGAGAAAGUUGAAGAGAGAGAGAGCAGCAAAACAGAGCAAGCUUAUGCAACUACUUCUGUUUUGCUGUUAUGAAGAGACGUGCUUUUUCUGGAGAGAAGGAGUAGUUUUCUUCUUUUAUUUCCUCAUAUAUAUAUAAGCAAUACAAAUUUAAAUUGAUUACAUCAAUCAAACGAUUA